GACGAACGCUGGCGGCGUGCUUAACACAUGCAAGUCGAACGGAAAGGCCCUGCUUGCAGGGUGCUCGCGUGGCGAACGGGUGAGUAACACGUGGGUGAUCUGCCCCUUACUUUGGGAUAAGCCUGGGAAACUGGGUCUAAUACUGGAUAGGACCAUGCUGUAGGUGGUGUGGUGGAAAGAUUAGUUUCGGUAAGGGAUGAGCUCGCGGCCUAUCAGCUUGUUGGUGGGGUAAUGGCCUACCAAGGCGUCGACGGGUAGCCGGCCUGAGAGGGUGGACGGCCACAUUGGGACUGAGAUACGGCCCAGAAGCCUACGGGAGGCAGCAGAGGGGAAUAUUGUACAAUGGGCGCAAGCCUGAUGCAGCGACGCCGCGUGGGGGAUGACGGCCUUCGGGUUGUAAACUCCUUUCAGCCAUGACGAAGCCCUUGUGGUGACGGUAGUGGUAGAAGAAGCACCGGCUAACUACGUG
This 469-nucleotide ribosomal RNA is filed under the name uncultured bacterium. RNAcentral's name for it is "partial 16S ribosomal RNA". It matches the Rfam family "Bacterial small subunit ribosomal RNA", at positions 28 to 507 of the family's 1533-position model. The record is from RNAcentral.